Molecule: ribosomal RNA, 253 nt
Filed under: uncultured bacterium
Lineage: Bacteria
Description: partial 16S ribosomal RNA
Rfam family: Bacterial small subunit ribosomal RNA
Source: RNAcentral
UACGAAAGGGGCGAGCGUUGUUCGGAAUUACUGGGCGUAAAGCGCGCGUAGGCGGCCUAGCAAGUUGGGGGUGAAAGCCUAGGGCCCAACCCUGGAAUUGCCUCCAAUACUGCUAAGCUCGAGGCCGGGAGAGGAGUGUGGAAUUCCUAGUGUAGAGGUGAAAUUCGUUUAUAUUAGGAGGAACACCGGUGGCGAAGGCGACACUCUGGCUCGCUACUGGCGCUGAGGCGUGAAAGCGUGGGGAGCGAACAGG